CAGUCGCCACGGUAAUACGAAGGGUGCUAGCGUUGUUCGGAAUUACUGGGCGUAAAGCGCGCGUAGGCGGCUUUUUAAGUCAGAGGUGAAAGCCCGGGGCUCAACCCCGGAAUUGCCUUUGAAACUGGAAAGCUAGAAUCUUGGAGAGGUCAGUGGAAUUCCGAGUGUAGAGGUGAAAUUCGUAGAUAUUCGGAAGAACACCAGUGGCGAAGGCGACUGACUGGACAAGUAUUGACGCUGAGGUGCGAAAGCGUGGGGAGCAAACAGGAUUAGAUACCCGAGUAGUCCCUGUCUCUUAUAC
RNAcentral lists this ribosomal RNA (301 nucleotides) under uncultured bacterium. Its description in RNAcentral is "partial 16S ribosomal RNA". It matches the Rfam family "Bacterial small subunit ribosomal RNA", at positions 509 to 807 of the family's 1533-position model. The record is from RNAcentral.